GGUGAGCACAGGAGGUUCAGAGCAGUGGAGAGUGUUGCCUAAAGAUUCUUCGUAUGUGUGAAAAGAAACAUAGUUAUGUAGGAAUGUCCAGUAUCCUGCAAGAACUGACCCAGGGUCGAGCAAGUCCAGCAGCCAGCAGGUGCCCCCAGAUGGUUUCAGAAGAAGAUGCAAGAAACAUGACCUUCAAUGCAGUACAGAACACCAGCUGCAGUAUCACCGUGUUAACAAAGGCUGGCCAUGUGAUUUUAAUUGGGUAAUUGCCACACUACGACUCCCAGUGACACAACUUUGGAAGAGGCUGUCAUAGAAACCAGUUAACCUCCUUUUGAACUACAAGCGAGACCUAUUGGUCAGCCAUCCCUGUGGCAAUUCCCUUACUUGGUGUGAGAACCAUAUGGAUAGGAAGAAGUAACCUAGACCCAAGAUGCAAGUUCACAGAUUGCAAGACAGGAGGCCAAACACUGAAACAGCAUCUGACAAAAGAAUAUUUGGGCCAGGCAUUUGGAUUCCAAUAACAUAAUGGAUUGCAAGACUUCUUAUUAUAUAAAUGAGGACUCUAGAAAACAGCUGGAUGGUCCAUGUCAAGAAUACAAGCAUGUCUUCUUGAUACAUAUUGAAUCCUGACCUGAGAUGGAAAGUAAUUUUUGUGAACAUAUUUACAGAACAAUGUGUAAUAGAUCUAGCAAAGGCUGAAGGCUGGUAAUAGUGACUGAUGUAGUACCAUGGAGAAAAGAAAUCUGAACACUGCUCUCCGAGGAGGCCGAGUGAGGAGUGAGGGCCAAUAUGCUGAAUGCCUCCCUGCAAAUCUUGAAUCCAGCCUUGCCAUGGUUUGCUGACUGUAUAAUCUCAUUAAGCCAAUGAGUGUUGCACUGAGGUAAAAUUACAGGCGAAUUUUUUGUAUUCAGUAGCUGACAAAGGGAAUGUCCUGAAUUUAUUCUAAUGGCAUGGUUUUACUUUCAGGUAGGUGUUGGCAUUUCAAACUGUUUGUUUCGAUGGCUGCAAGUAUGAAAUGUUCCAUGGUAGAUUACUCACUCUAGCAUGUUCUCUGUGGGCAGGGUUUAUAGAGGGCGAUUCAUGAACUUCGCUUCUUAAACCAUAACCUUCCAUAUAAGGAAGCUCAAGUAGGUCAUGUGCUGAUGGGAGCCAGGAAACACCCAUACGUGUGUGAUGCAAAUCUUACAGCCUGUCUAGUAACUGAGAGUGGCCAACUGAUGUGCAUCCCAGUUUGUCAGAUGUGUUUAUACAUCUUCUGAGAUGUUAUGGAUAUAAAUUGUAUAUCAGAGCUUAGAAUCUGACCCUAAAAAGUAGAUG
Strigops habroptila (Kakapo) is the source of this 1311-nucleotide long non-coding RNA. RefSeq lists it as uncharacterized. The transcript has 6 exons. Lineage: Eukaryota; Metazoa; Chordata; Aves; Psittaciformes; Psittacidae. The record is from RefSeq and is a predicted model, not a curated record.